ACAUUGGUGGUUCAGUGGCAGAAUUCUUGCCUUCUAUGCAGGAGACCUGGGUUUGAUUCCCAGCCAAUGCA
RNAcentral lists this transfer RNA (71 nucleotides) under Trichechus manatus latirostris (Florida manatee). RNAcentral's name for it is "tRNA-Arg (TCT) (tRNA-Arg-TCT-11-1)". It matches the Rfam family "tRNA". From Rfam's summary of the family: Transfer RNA (tRNA) molecules are approximately 80 nucleotides in length. Their secondary structure includes four short double-helical elements and three loops (D, anti-codon, and T loops). Lineage: Eukaryota; Metazoa; Chordata; Mammalia; Sirenia; Trichechidae. The record is from Rfam by way of RNAcentral.